This 253-nucleotide ribosomal RNA is filed under the name uncultured bacterium. RNAcentral describes it as "partial 16S ribosomal RNA". It matches the Rfam family "Bacterial small subunit ribosomal RNA", at positions 524 to 776 of the family's 1533-position model. The record is from RNAcentral.
UACGUAGAUGGCGAGCGUUGUCCGGAAUUACUGGGUGUAAAGCGCGUGUAGGCGGGAGGCCAAGUCUGUGGUGAAAUCGCUCGGCUUAACUGGGCGGGGUCCAUGGAAACUGGUCACCUGGAGGUCGGUAGAGGCAAGUGGAAUUCCCGGUGUAGUGGUGAAAUGCGUAGAGAUCGGGAGGAACACCAGUGGCGAAGGCGGCCUGCUGGGCCGGACCUGACGCUGAGACGCGAAGGCGUGGGGAGCGAACGGG